This 451-nucleotide ribosomal RNA is filed under the name uncultured bacterium. RNAcentral's name for it is "partial 16S ribosomal RNA". It matches the Rfam family "Bacterial small subunit ribosomal RNA", at positions 354 to 796 of the family's 1533-position model. The record is from RNAcentral.
GUGGGGAAUAUUGGACAAUGGGGGGAACCCUGAUCCAGCCAUGCCGCGUGUGUGAAGAAGGCCUUUUGGUUGUAAAGCACUUUAAGCGAGGAGGAGGCUACCGAGAUUAAUACUCUUGGAUAGUGGACGUUACUCGCAGAAUAAGCACCGGCUAACUCUGUGCCAGCAGCCGCGGUAAUACAGAGGGUGCAAGCGUUAAUCGGAUUUACUGGGCGUAAAGCGCGCGUAGGUGGCCAAUUAAGUCAAAUGUGAAAUCCCCGAGCUUAACUUGGGAAUUGCAUUCGGUACUGGUUGGCUAGAGUAUGGGAGAGGAUGGUAGAAUUCCAGGUGUAGCGGUGAAAUGCGUAGAGAUCUGGAGGAAUACCGAUGGCGAAGGCAGCCAUCUGGCCUAAUACUGACACUGAGGUGCGAAAGCAUGGGGAGCAAACAGGAUUAGAUACCCCUGUAGUCC